Molecule: long non-coding RNA, 401 nt
Organism: Sinocyclocheilus rhinocerous
Lineage: Eukaryota; Metazoa; Chordata; Actinopteri; Cypriniformes; Cyprinidae
Exons: 4
Source: RefSeq, a predicted model, not a curated record
UUGGUGAAAGUGAAGUGGACUCAUCUAUGACCAAAGUGUAAGUGGGUACACUCCUCCAGAACUUGUUGCAGAGAAACCCAUCCAGGAAGGCAUAGGAUCUGCAGAAAAAGAUGGAUGUCCACAAAAUCAAGUGUUUUAUGUUUCGUCCAAUGUUGUCACCAUAUUACCAUCAUUAUAUGUUCCGCACCUACCAUAUGUGGACGAGUCGCAAAUCCAUUACAAAGAAGAGAACCUGCUGGGUGAAGGUGCCUUUGGAAGAGUGUAUAGAGGCUACUUUCAGGGCACCCCUGCUGCAAUAAAAAAGAUUCUGUAUGGCACCGCAGGACUUCCAGACCAAGAUAUCCAGCACGAGAUUCUGGUCUUACUCCGACUGAGCCAUCCCAAUAUUGUUCGACUCAUGG